This 242-nucleotide ribosomal RNA is filed under the name uncultured bacterium. RNAcentral's name for it is "partial 16S ribosomal RNA". It matches the Rfam family "Bacterial small subunit ribosomal RNA", at positions 524 to 765 of the family's 1533-position model. The record is from RNAcentral.
UACGGAGGGUGCGAGCGUUAAUCGGAAUUACUGGGCGUAAAGCGCACGCAGGCGGUUUGUUAAGCUAGAUGUGAAAGCCCCGGGCUCAACCUGGGAUGGUCAUUUAGAACUGGCAGACUAGAGUCUUGGAGAGGGGAGUGGAAUUCCAGGUGUAGCGGUGAAAUGCGUAGAUAUCUGGAGGAACAUCAGUGGCGAAGGCGGCUCCCUGGCCAAAGACUGACGCUCAUGUGCGAAAGUGUGGG